Long non-coding RNA from Olea europaea var. sylvestris, 1170 nucleotides. RefSeq lists it as uncharacterized. The record is from RefSeq and is a predicted model, not a curated record. Lineage: Eukaryota; Viridiplantae; Streptophyta; Magnoliopsida; Lamiales; Oleaceae. The transcript is spliced from 4 exons.
AGCAUAAAGAUGAUCAGGAGUCAUGUCAACUGCUGCACAAGUUGCCUCAAAGAAUAUGAUUGAGUUUUGAUCUUGAAGAUUCUCAUCCGGAUUGACCAUAGGAGGAUCCAUCAUUCCUUUGGAUCCUCCUCAUCAACAUGUUACUGAAGCUAAGGUACAGAUGAUAUAACUCUGCUGGUGGCUUUGGAUGAACAUGGCAAAGCUGAAGGUUUUCUCUAUGAAGAUGAUGGUGCUGGAUAUGAAUACCUUGAAGGAGGAUACCUGUUGACAACUUAUGUUGCUGAACUUCAGCAUUCCGAGGUCAUUUUAAGAGUUUCGAAAACUGAAGGAUCUUGGAUAGACCAAAGCGCCGCUUCAUAUGAAAUUUCUGAUUUGCAUUGGCGCUGUGCUUGAUGCAUGGGGUACUGACGGGGAGAUGCUGCAAAUCAAAUUCCCAUAUAUAGAAGAAAAUGCAGAAAGUGAUGGAAGUGCAAAGAGUACAGAAUGUGCGGAGUGAGAUGAAAGUGCAGAAAGCGAUGGACGCGAAUGUGCACUGAAGUGACCACUGCAAGCGUGUUCAUUUGUUACCUUCCAUAUAUAGUUCUGUUUAAUAAGGUUUAUAUAUGGCUUGUAAUAGGGGUAUAAAAUCCCACCGAGUUUACUUGAAUAAGAAAUAAUAAGAAUUGUGGACCAGACUCUCCCAUUCUUCAUUUUUAAGUCUUCAUUUCAUUUGUGUUGUUGAGCUGAUAUCAUUAGCGUGCUGGUUGCAUUUUACGUCUCCAUUUUGCUGUGAAUUUACAAAUGAUUUAUGAACUCAGUCAAAUCAAUAAUACAUAACUAUAUUACUCAUUUUUUAUCUACAUAUUUUGUGGAAUCCACUGUUAUUCUUUUUACUAUUCCUCUUUAUAAAGAUUUAUAAAUUAUCAAACGGAGGCUUUAGACUUUGAAGGAUAAUAUUUUUUGCUUGUACUAUUACCAUAUUUCAAUAUUAUGAAAAAAUGUAGAGGGCCCACUUGGGUAAUAUGUACUCCAUUGUAGCAUUUAAUCUUUUUAUGUGCCUGUCUAUGCACUCAACUCACUCAUGCACACGUUUGCAUGUGUGUGAUGGAAAGUGAUGCAGCACAAACAAGAACAAACAAGGAACAUGAAUCAAUAUUUCGUUGAUUCACGAAGAAUGCUCAGGACUAACAA